RNAcentral lists this unclassified non-coding RNA (254 nucleotides) under uncultured Acidimicrobiia bacterium. RNAcentral describes it as "contains 16S-23S intergenic spacer region". It matches the Rfam family "Bacterial small subunit ribosomal RNA", at positions 524 to 776 of the family's 1533-position model. The record is from RNAcentral. Lineage: Bacteria; Bacillati; Actinomycetota; Acidimicrobiia.
GACGUAGGGGGCAAGCGUUGUCCGGAUUUACUGGGCGUAAAGCGCCCGCAGGCGGUUCGGUAAGUCGGGUGUGAAAGCUCCAGGCUCAACCUGGAGAGGCCACCCGAUACUGCCGUGACUUGAGUCCGGUAGGGGAGUGCGGAAUAUCCGGUGUAGCGGUGAAAUGCUUAGAUAUCGGAUGGAACACCAGCAGCGAAGGCGGCACUCUGGGCCGGUACUGACGCUCAUGGGCGAAAGCGUGGGGAGCGAACAGG